CAAAGCUUGUGCUGCUUGGACCUAGCCUGUACCUGUAGUAGCCAGAAAAAGCAGACUCAGUCACUGGAUUUUGUGUAUUGAAAACUUGACUUGCUGCUGGUAAUCUUACGUGAUUUUUUUUUUUUUAAACUUGCUCAAAUAGUAAUUCCAGAAGAGGAUCAUAAUUUAUUUUUAACGUCCUUCACUCCAGAGGCCAAUAUGUGUGUUAUUUUAAUUGUGGUUAGACAGUUUCCCUAAUUACUGCCUUCCCAAUAGUUUGCUCUGCUGCAUCCCAUAUGAAAUGCAUAGGAGGGAGUUCCCGUCGUGGCGCAGUGGUUAACGAAUCCAACUAGGAACCAUGAGGUCUCAGUUCGAUCCCUGCCCUUGCUCAGUGGGUUAUUGAUCUGGCCUGCAUCUGUGACCUAGACCACAGCUCACGGCAACACGAGAUCAGUGACCCACUGAGCAAAGCCAGGGAUCAAACCUGCAUCCUCAGAUACUAGUGGGAUUCCUUUCUACUGCACCACAAUGGGAACUCCCCUGCUCUUUUUUAUUGUCCAAAGACUAGACAAAAGUUCUGGCUUCAUAAAGUGAAAAUGUUUUUUUGUUUUUUGUUUGUUGUUUUUUUUGUCCACGAUUUUAAAUUUAUUUAUUUAUUUAUUUUUAUUUUCCCACUGUACAGCAAGGGGAUCAAGUUAUCCUUACAUGUAUACAUUACAAUUACAUUUUUUUCCCCACCCUUUGUUCUGUUGCAACAUGAGUGUCUGGACAUAGUUCUCAAUGCUAUUCAGCAGGAUCUCCUUGUAAAUCUAUUCUAAGUUGUGUCUGAUUGAAAAUGUUUUUUUAUCCUACAGUUGUUAAUUAAUUACAACUAAAGUCUUCCUGUUCUUCAAAAUUGCCUUUUGCCCAGGUGGUGGCAGCAUGUCUCAGAGAGAUAGCGUGAUGUAGGUUUUCUACAACCUUGCCAGUGGAUUUACUUCUUCAUCCCAUAUACGAGACCUGUCUGUCAGUCUCUAUUUCUCUCUUGGGCAUUUUCACUACUAUUAGACCAGCCUAUCAGUGAUUCACUCCAUCUUCCAACCCCCUUUCAGCCUCAUCUGAGUGGGUCAUACUCUGCCAGUUUGCUUUCAGGGUAUUUUACCUACAAAGAAAGCUUCACCAAAUUAUUAUUUUCUGCAAAAUUCAUUUAGACCUAACCAGCAACACAAAGACUUUUUUUUUAAGUAUUAUUAUUUUUCACCCAUUGUUAAAUGUAAUUUGGCAAAAGCACAUCCAAACUAAAUAAUUAGCUAAUAUAAUGAAAUAUCUGAUUAAAUUAGAGUGCAGGCAUCUUAAACUUUAUGGAAUAUACCAACUAAAGAGCUAAUGAAAAGCUUUUUAAAGAUAGAAUUUGUCUUCAAAAUAAGAACAAAAAUAUUCAACAGAAAGCAGUGAAAAGUAAUAUAAUUCAAAAGCAUGCAAGUAUAUAUCAAAAUAAUUAGUUAAACUUACCUUAGCGAAAUAUUGUUUGGAACAUUAUUCUCAUAUCUUGGCAGGGUUACUAACUUCCUAGAGGUUUCAAAUCAGGUGAUAGCUCCUCACAAAAGCCCUCUCUAACCCUAUCACUUUUACUUUUUUCACAGCAAUUCCAUCUGACAUCUUAUUUACUGAUUUAUUGUUUAUUUUUUCCCACUAGAAUGUAAGCUGUAUGAGAUCAGUUACCACAAUACUUAGAAUAUUGUUUUGAAUAAUUGAAUCCAAGAUAUGGCAUUGUCACCUACAAAUAAAACUGUUAAGUGUUUGAACAAAUCAAGAAAUAAUCUUAAAUCUCAGGAAUUUGUGAAGCUCAUGUUAAAGUACCAAACUGUUGUAUUAUGUUCUGACAAUAAUAAGAGAUGCCCUAGUAAGAACAGGUCUAAAGAUUAGUAAGUAAGAUAUUUGGGGAAAGAUAAAAAUAACUGUGGUUAUCUUGUUAAAAGAAGAAUACUAGUUGCUUAAGGAUUUCAAGUAUGUAAAAGAAUGUUCAAGGGACAUAGUGAUUCAUCAUCUUCACUGAUAAAAGUAAUUAGUCCUAUACUGUUGGUGCUGAGAUUUAAGAUAAGAACAGGCUAGACUAGAGAUCUAAAUAGGGAUCUUUGAAAAUGUGUUAAGAGUGAAUAUGCAUACUGGAUGCUCUCUCUAGAUAGUUCCCAGCUUUAUGAUUCCCAGUGCAGAGUACAAAAGAAAGAUUAGAUAGCAGAUGCUUCUCUUCUGAUUAUUCCUUGCUGCCCAUGGCCUUUUCUGGACGUUUUAGAAACAUUUUGGUGUGUUUGAGUACAGUCAAUAUGAGUGAUAUGUAUUGCUGCUUUGGGUAGUUAAAAGCAAUCUUUUCAGAUAAUGCUGAAAAUUGGGUGUUUCUGCUUUUUUAAUACCGAAACUGUUUACAAUUCUCUAUCUCUAGAAUGUACUAUACAUGCAUAUGCAGCAAACUAAUUUCCUUUAAUUAGAGGGCAGCCUUUUGGAAGGGUAAAAUUCCCAGUAAAUUCUUUUGAAGCCUUGGUUUACGUUACUGUUGUGAGAGACACUAAGCUUUCCUGCUGAAUCUAGAAAUUCAAAUAUUAGACUUACCCAUAAAUGAUGUAAUUAUAUUAACUAUGUCAAGUCACCUCUAAUUUCUAUGCUGUGGUCUCCAAGCCAUUAAAUAGGAGUUGCUGUCCAAUUGAGGAAACUGGUCCAUGUAUGGGAAUCCUUCAUUGUGAAAAAAAACAGUGUGUAUUGCAAAAGCUGUCUCUAGCAGCAUCACCUUUGCUGAGCAGCAUUUUAAUUUGAUACAUUUCAACUUCAGCUAAGCAAGCUACUCAAAGUAACCAUAUUAGACAACCUUACUUGCUAUAUGAUAUUGCCAGGUUACUUGUCCUUGUGUCAUACAGUGCUCUGUAUAAAAAGUCCCAUGUAAGUUAUUUUGGAAUGUGAUUCUUGGAGUUCCUGCUGUGGUGCAGCAGGUUAAUAAGGCAUUGUGUCUCUGGUGGCUCAGGUUGCUGCUCAAGUAUGGUUUUGACCCCUGGCCUGGCGCAGAGGUCAGGAUCUUGAGGUGCAGCCAAAAAAGGAAAAGAAAAAAAAGAAUGUAAUUCUAAAAAAAAUUUGGAAGCCACUAUUGAUAGGAAGAAUUUGCUGCUCUUUGACUUGACAGGAAACUCAAGAGCCAAAUUUGAAAUUCAUGUCUAACAUGCAUCCUGACUUGCAUACUUGCAUUUCUUUUUAAAUAUAUUUUUCCUAGGACAGAUAUUCUAUACCUAUCAUUAUUGUAUAUGUUCACGUAGUAAAAUAUCUCAAGUCCCUAUUGAAAUAAGGCACAGUAUAGUUUGCCUGUAGAUCGAGUGUUUGAAACCCAGAACUUUACAAAGAUGUUUGAUUUACUAGUAAAAUUCUUGCAGCACCUCAUAUUUUUAUGUUUAUUUUUAAAUUUUGUACUAUAAUCGUAUCAUUCAGAACUAGGGAACAUAGGAAAUUAUUGUUUGGAAUUGCAUCCCAAAGUCUAAUUCUAAAAGCUAGUUUGUGCCUUUAAUAGCCCUCAGUAUAAUAAUGUGUAUAUUUGGAAUCUAGUUUUAAAAGUGAACAAAAAUUUACUGGUGCCGGGCUAUAAAUAUAGUUCCCUAAACUGUCACUUAGAGACAUAUCCUAGUCCUGAAUUCAUAAAUUGCUUUUGCUGAGUUCACUGUUUAUGUUUUCAGGCUUUAAGUCCGGAAGUGAAACAGUCUGAAAUCCAGAAACUCCAUUCUGAUUCACAUAUGUUCUCUGGAACUGUAGUAAAUGAUAGUGGUACAUAUGAUGAGUUUCAGGAGGUUUUGAAUUUGGAGUUUUCCUUGAUUUUUAAAAUUGACCUUAAUCAAUUGGUUUUCUCUUCUCUUUAAUAAUCAGAUAAUAAUAAAAAUUGAACCAG
This 3877-nucleotide long non-coding RNA is filed under the name Sus scrofa (pig). RNAcentral describes it as "lncRNA (ENSSSCG00025001122.1)". Lineage: Eukaryota; Metazoa; Chordata; Mammalia; Artiodactyla; Suidae. The record is from RNAcentral.